UUGUGCAAUAAACGAAAGUAUGACACAGAGAGGACACAUUUAAUUGAGCCCGUCAAAUUAAGUGCCAGCCGACGCGGUUAAACUUAAGGGCUGGUCUUUAUAAGUAAAAAGGCGUAAAGGAUGUGUAGGCCAAGAAACGAUCCAAGUAGGUAAAUGGAAUUUUUCUGGAGCGGUAGAAUGUGAGGAUAGAAAAUAGAACCCCUAAGGUAAAAACUAUUUACUACAAGGUAGGCUGAAACAUGAGAGUGUGGGGAGCAAACAGGAUUAGAGACCCUGGUAGUCCACACUGUGAACUUUGAAGAUGAUGCUUAGCAGACCCGAAAGGUAAAAUCUUCCGCCUGAGUAGUACGAUCGCAAGAUUAAAAUUCAAAAACUUUGGCUGUUCACUAUUUCGAUUAGAGGAGCGUGUAGUUUAAUUCGAUGGUCCGCGUGUUACCUUACCCCAACUUGAAUCUGUGACCGGUAUUGCAUGGCCGUCGUAAGUUCGUGUAUUAAGCUAGAAGGGACCCAACCCGGGCACUUGCCCGGAGGAAGUCAGGUCUUAUGAUCCGAAUGUUGGGGGAUUUUAUGCGCUACAUUUUCUUAUAUAAUGAGAAACCUGGAAGGUGAAUCUCUAAAGUAAGAGUUCGGAAGGUCGCUGUAAGACGACUGGAAGUUGGAUUUAAUAGUAAUCGGAAAGUAGGGCGUUCCGGUGAAUUGGUACAAGUGUUAGCACAAAUUGCCCGUCACCUUUACUUAGAAUGGUUAUUCGGAUGUCUUCGG
Molecule: ribosomal RNA, 762 nt
Filed under: Heteranthus verruculatus
Lineage: Eukaryota; Metazoa; Cnidaria; Anthozoa; Actiniaria; Phymanthidae
Description: partial small subunit ribosomal RNA
Rfam family: Bacterial small subunit ribosomal RNA
Source: RNAcentral